AGCACUGUAGGUGUCAGCAGCCGCGGUAAUACAGAGGGUGCAAGCGUUAAUCGGAAUUACUGGGCGUAAAGCGCGCGUAGGUGGUUCGUUAAGUUGGAUGUGAAAGCCCCCGGGCUCAACCUAGGGAACGUAGCAUUCUAAAACUAGUCGAGCUAGAGUAUGGUAGAGGGUGGUGGAAUUUCCUUGUGUAGCGGUGAAAUAGCGUAGAUAUAGGAAGGAACACCAGUGGCGAAGGCGACCACCUGGACUGAUACUGACACUGAGGUGCGAAAGACGUGGGGGAGGCAAACAGGAUUAGAUACCCUCGGUAGUCCACGCCGUAAACGAUGUCAACUAGCCGUUGGGAGCCUUGAGCUCUUAGUGGCGCAGCU
Molecule: ribosomal RNA, 371 nt
Filed under: uncultured bacterium
Lineage: Bacteria
Description: bacterial SSU rRNA
Rfam family: Bacterial small subunit ribosomal RNA
Source: RNAcentral